This 484-nucleotide ribosomal RNA is filed under the name uncultured bacterium. RNAcentral's name for it is "partial 16S ribosomal RNA". It matches the Rfam family "Bacterial small subunit ribosomal RNA", at positions 28 to 523 of the family's 1533-position model. The record is from RNAcentral.
GACGAACGCUGGCGGCGUGCUUAACACAUGCAAGUCGAACGAUGAAGCCGGAGCUUGCUCUGGUGAAUUAGUGGCGAACGGGUGAAUAACACGUGAGUAACCUGCCCUUGACUCUGGGAUAACUGCGGGAAACUGUAGCUAAUACCGGAUACGACCCUCGGAGGCAUCUCCUGGGGGUGGAAAGAAUUUCGGUCAAGGAUGGACUCGCGGCCUAUCAGCUAGUUGGUGAGGUAAAGGCUCACCAAGGCGACGACGGGUAGCCGGCCUGAGAGGUGGACCGGCCACACUGGGACUGAGACACGGCCCAGACUCCUACGGGAGGCAGCAGUGGGGAAUAUUGCACAAUGGGCGCAAGCCUGAUGCAGCAACGCCGCGUGAGGGAUGACGGCCUUCGGGUUGUAAACCUCUUUUAGCAGGGAAGAAGCGAAAGUGACGGUACCUGCAGAAAAAGCACCGGCUAACUACGUGCCAGCAGCCGCCGUAA